GAGCCAUUAGCUCAGCCGGCAGAGCAUCUGACUUUUAAUCAGGGGGUCUGGGGUUCAAAUCCCCAAUGGCUCACCA
This 76-nucleotide transfer RNA is filed under the name Ruminococcus sp. RNAcentral describes it as "tRNA-Lys". It matches the Rfam family "tRNA". From Rfam's summary of the family: Transfer RNA (tRNA) molecules are approximately 80 nucleotides in length. Their secondary structure includes four short double-helical elements and three loops (D, anti-codon, and T loops). The record is from RNAcentral. RNAcentral also lists the same sequence under 1 other name. Lineage: Bacteria; Bacillati; Bacillota; Clostridia; Eubacteriales; Oscillospiraceae.